AUGAAUGUGUUGUCCCAUGACCAGUUCGUGCAACUGUCCGUAACACUUUGGGCGCUUUGGUCUGCUCGUCGCAAAGCUAUACACGAAGGAAUUUUCCAGAGUCCUCAGUCCAUACAUGCCUUCAUUAAUAGCUUCAUCACCGAGCUGAAGUUGAUCAGGGAGAACCAACCUAUGCACGCGCACCUGGGCGGACCAAGGGCCUCCCACCCCCUCCGACCCAAAGCACCACCUGCUGGUUUCGCGAAAAUUCAUGUUGAUGCGGCAGUUCUGAAAGGAAGAGGGGGAUCUGCAGCGGCUAUUUGUAGAGACAGCCUAGGCAAUUUCCUGAGAAGUUCGGCAUUGGUUGUACAGGGAGUUGAUGAUCCCUCCAUUCUGGAGACCAUAGCUUGCAGAGAGGCUUUGGCAUUGGCACAAGACCUUCAACUACAAAAUAUGAUCGUAGCAUCAGAUGCCAAGCAAGUCGUCCAGGAGAUAAACAACAGAUCCAGAGGUGCGAACGGAGCUAUUAUUAGUGAGAUUAAUUCAUAUUCAAGUUUGUUUCGAUGUAUUUUUUCUUUCGAAAGUCGUAGGGCAAACAUAGAAGCUCAUAAGCUAGCCAAGCACUCGUUGUCUUUAGGUCGGGGGCGCCACGUUUGGUUUGGCCAACCCCAUGAUCUUACUUGUAUCCCACAAUCUAUGGUAUUCGAUUAA
This 690-nucleotide ribosomal RNA is filed under the name Triticum aestivum (bread wheat). Its description in RNAcentral is "partial small subunit ribosomal RNA". Lineage: Eukaryota; Viridiplantae; Streptophyta; Magnoliopsida; Poales; Poaceae. The record is from RNAcentral.